AGUGAACGCUGGCGGUAUGCCUAACACAUGCAAGUCGAACGGCAGCACAGUAAGAGCUUGCUCUUACGGGUGGCGAGUGGCAGACGGGUGAGGAAUACAUCGGAAUCUACUUUUUCGUGGGGGAUAACGUAGGGAAACUUACGCUAAUACCGCAUACGACCUACGGGUGAAAGCAGGGGAUCUUCGGACCUUGCGCGAUUGAAUGAGCCGAUGUCGGAUUAGCUAGUUGGCGGGGUAAAGGCCCACCAAGGCGACGAUCCGUAGCUGGUCUGAGAGGAUGAUCAGCCACACUGGAACUGAGACACGGUCCAGACUCCUACGGGAGGCAGCAGUGGGGAAUAUUGGACAAUGGGCGCAAGCCUGAUCCAGCCAUACCGCGUGGGUGAAGAAGGCCUUCGGGUUGUAAAGCCCUUUUGUUGGGAAAGAAAAGCAGCAGGUUAAUACCCCGCUGUUCUGACGGUACCCAAAGAAUAAGCACCGGCUAACUUCGUG
This 492-nucleotide ribosomal RNA is filed under the name uncultured bacterium. RNAcentral describes it as "partial 16S ribosomal RNA". It matches the Rfam family "Bacterial small subunit ribosomal RNA", at positions 29 to 507 of the family's 1533-position model. The record is from RNAcentral.